This 499-nucleotide ribosomal RNA is filed under the name uncultured bacterium. Its description in RNAcentral is "partial 16S ribosomal RNA". It matches the Rfam family "Bacterial small subunit ribosomal RNA", at positions 29 to 507 of the family's 1533-position model. The record is from RNAcentral.
ACGAACGCUGGCGGCGUGCUUAACACAUGCAAGUCGAACGGGUCUGCCCUGUUUUUUGCGGGGUGGGUCAGUGGCGAACGGGUGAGUAACACGUGAGUAACCUGCCCCUCACUUCUGGAUAACCGCUUGAAAGGGUGGCUAAUACGGGGUGUUCUGGCUGUGCCGCAUGGUGUGGCUGGGAAAGAUUCACUUUUGUGGUGUUUUGGUGGGGGAUGGGCUCGCGGCCUAUCAGCUUGUUGGUGGGGUGAUGGCCUGCCAAGGCUUUGACGGGUAGCCGGCCUAAGAGGGUGGGCGGUCACACUGGGACUGAGAUACGGCCCAGACUCCUGCGGGAGGCAGCAGUGGGGGGUAUUGCACAAUGGGCGGAAGCCUGAUGCAGCGACGUCGCGUGAGGGAUGGAGGCCUUCGGGUUGUGAACCUCUUUCGCCGGUGAAGAAGGUCCUGCUCUUUGUGGUGGGGUUGACGGUAGCCGGGUUAUGAAGCGCCGGCUAACUACGUG